This 303-nucleotide microRNA precursor is filed under the name Sorghum bicolor (sorghum). Its description in RNAcentral is "miR6220 stem-loop (sbi-MIR6220)". Lineage: Eukaryota; Viridiplantae; Streptophyta; Magnoliopsida; Poales; Poaceae. The record is from miRBase by way of RNAcentral.
GGCCAUGCUGUCGAACAUAUUACUCUCUCCAUCCUAAAUUAUAAGACAUUAUAAGAAUCCUAGAUAGUCAAAGUAUGACAAAUUUGACCAAAUUUAUAUAAUAAAAUAAUAACAUUUAUGAUACUAACUAAACAUCAUUAGAUUCUUCUUUAAUUAUAUUUUAUAGUAUAUCUACUUGAUCUCAUAAGUUUUUAUAUUUUUCUAUAAUUUUGGUUAAACUUGAGAUAAUUUGAUUCUCUAAGUUUUUUGAAAUGCCUUAUAAUUUGGGAUGGAGAGAGCUUUUUUUAUUGUUAAAGUAGUGCC